Miniopterus natalensis is the source of this 384-nucleotide non-coding RNA. The record is from RefSeq and is a predicted model, not a curated record. NCBI's taxonomy places the organism in Eukaryota, Metazoa, Chordata, Mammalia, Chiroptera, Miniopteridae.
CCUGUGACUUCGAGCAGGACUCCUGCGGCUGGCGGGACAUCAGCACCUCAGGCUACAGCUGGCUCCGGGACCGCGCAGGGGCUGUGCUGCAGGGUCCCGGGCCUCGCUCAGACCACACUCUUGGCACUGACCUGGGAUGGUACGUGGCUGUUGGCACUCACCGUGGGAAAGAGGCUUCUGUGGCAGCCCUGCGUUCCCCUGUCCUGAAGGAGGCAGCCCCUACCUGCGAGCUGAGACUCUGGUACCACGCAGCCUCUGCAGCCCCCCAGGCAAGCUGCCCCCUGGGGCAUCACCAUUGUCAGAACAAGGCCUGCGUGGAGCCCCACCAACUGUGCGACGGGGAGGACAACUGUGGGGACAGUUCAGAUGAAGACACACCCCUGU